Molecule: non-coding RNA, 357 nt
Organism: Oryctolagus cuniculus (rabbit)
Lineage: Eukaryota; Metazoa; Chordata; Mammalia; Lagomorpha; Leporidae
Source: RefSeq, a predicted model, not a curated record
AUAGGCCCCAGGCAGACUCCCCUCAACCCUCCAACCAUGUUAGGUUAGAGCAACAAGAUGGCUGUUGAUAAGCAAGCAGGUCCUUGCCAAACACUGAACCUGCUAGUUCUUUGAUCUUGGACUUCCAGACUACAAAACUGUGAGAAAUGAAUUUCUGUUGCUUUCUCCACUUUCUAUGAUAUUCUGCUAUAGCAGGCUGAGCUCUAUAUGAUAAUGCACUGGAAGGCCAAACAAUGAAGCCACCAUGUUUUAGGGACAGAAAGCUUACUGUGCGAUAGCCAAGCAAGAAUUCAGGAGCAAAAGCUGACAUUUGACUCCCUUCACAGCUUUUGUAAAGUAUAUUUAUUGAGAAGAGAA